Molecule: long non-coding RNA, 654 nt
Filed under: Brassica napus (rape)
Lineage: Eukaryota; Viridiplantae; Streptophyta; Magnoliopsida; Brassicales; Brassicaceae
Description: long non-coding RNA (BNAP_LNC017911)
Source: RNAcentral
GUCAACACUAAUUGAACAAUAAUUUGUAGUGUUAGUUGCACAUCAGCAUAAACUGAAUUAUCACUUUCACGUUACAUGGUAGUGAAACCCAAAUUUUUGGUUAAGAAAUUCUAUUCCUCUCUUACAUGUAUCAUGAUUGAGUCACCCACACUAUACAUUACAUAUUUUAUGUUUAUUAUUAAUCCAAUAAAAAGACUAAACUCUAUAUCUUAUAAAGAAUAUAGUUUGAUGAAGAACUCAUGUAUAUGUAGUUAAGAUUUUUAAUUUCUGUUAUAAAAAAUCUAACCCAUGAAAACUAUUUAUAACCACAAACCCAACUCGAACACACAUUCAGUGUUGAGAAUUGUAAGCACUUCGAUACACCAUGCCUUCACAAUUUUGGGGCCCUAGAAUUGUCAGCCUAUGGCAAAUUUCUUUUUUGAGUACACUAUACUCGAUCACUUCAAUUGUAUGCCUAUGGAAAAUGCCUUUCUGAAUACACUAUAAUCACGAUUCACGAUUAUGCUAAAACUUUUGUAGUUUAAGAAACUUGUAAGAUACUUAAGAUAUUUUUAGUCAUACUUAUUAAAAAAAUCCAGUUAUAAUUUUAUACCAAUUCGUCACAAUUAUUUAGUCUUUUUGUCACAGUAUGAGACUAACUAUUCCAUCACAACA